UGCACGCCCAAGUGGUUGGGCGGUCUUGGCAUACCAGACUUGGCCUGGACGAAUGUGGCUUUGCAGGCCAAAUGGCUAUGGCUGCAGCGGGUGGAUCGGGACAUACCAUGGCGGGAGUUCUCAUUCUCAGUGCCGAAGGAAGCAACGCAACUUUUUCAGGCUGCAACAGGAGCGGUCAUUGGCGACGGAUGGGACAUCCUAUUCUGGGAGGAUAGGUGGCUUGACGGCUAUCGGAUGCAGGAGUUGGCACCGCGGGCAUACAUCGCAGUCCCAUCACGGACAACGAAAGAAAGGACAGUCUUUGAGGACGUUGCACAAGGGGGUUGGGCCACGGAUAUCGGGCCUAGCAUCGAUGUGGCCGAAUUGAACGAAUACAUGAGCAUCUGGCCUAGGAUUGCGGCAGUGCAGAUACAGGAGGGAGCCGCUGAUUCCAUCUCAUGGUCAUGGGAGAGCAGCGGCGAGUUCUCGGCCAGGUCUCGCCCACGGCAGCGUUCACAUGGUGUUCGAAGACUCUGCUCCGGUGUCGGUUAUUCGCAUGGUUGGCAAUCAUGGAUCGUUGUUGGACUUCUGACAGGCUGGCACGCCGUGGCCUGCCACACCAGGAUACGUGUCCUUUUGGCGACCAGCACGACGAAACGAUCAGCCAUCUACUUGUGGAGUGCGUGCUAG
Molecule: ribosomal RNA, 669 nt
Filed under: Triticum aestivum (bread wheat)
Lineage: Eukaryota; Viridiplantae; Streptophyta; Magnoliopsida; Poales; Poaceae
Description: partial small subunit ribosomal RNA
Source: RNAcentral